RNAcentral lists this transfer RNA (77 nucleotides) under Chloroflexota bacterium. RNAcentral describes it as "tRNA-Val". It matches the Rfam family "tRNA". Rfam says of the family: Transfer RNA (tRNA) molecules are approximately 80 nucleotides in length. Lineage: Bacteria; Bacillati; Chloroflexota. RNAcentral also lists the same sequence under 2 other names. The record is from RNAcentral.
GGGCGGUUAGCUCAGUUGGUUAGAGCGCUAGCUUCACACGCUAGAGGUCACAGGUUCGAAUCCUGUAUCGCCCACCA